UUAUUGCUUGAGAAUACACGGC
RNAcentral lists this microRNA (22 nucleotides) under Eisenia fetida (common brandling worm). RNAcentral's name for it is "Efe-Mir-137-P4_3p (mature (guide))". Lineage: Eukaryota; Metazoa; Annelida; Clitellata; Crassiclitellata; Lumbricidae. The record is from RNAcentral.